This 403-nucleotide ribosomal RNA is filed under the name uncultured bacterium. Its description in RNAcentral is "bacterial SSU rRNA". It matches the Rfam family "Bacterial small subunit ribosomal RNA", at positions 976 to 1380 of the family's 1533-position model. The record is from RNAcentral.
CGGGCUUGAACUGCAGGGGACAGGACAAGAGAUUGUCCUUUCUUCGGACUCCUGUGGAGGUGCUGCAUGGUUGUCGUCAGCUCGUGCCGUGAGGUGUCGGCUUAAGUGCCAUAACGAGCGCAACCCUUUUCUGCGUUUGCCAUCAGGUUUUUGCUGGGCACUCCGCAGAUACUGCCAUCGCAAGAUGUGAGGAAGGUGGGGAUGACGUCAAAUCAGCACGGCCCUUACGUCCGGGGCUACACACGUGUUACAAUGGGUGGUACAGAGGGUCGCAAUCAGGCAACUGUGAGCCAAUCCUCAAAUCCAUUCUCAGUUCGGAUUGGAGUCUGCAACCCGACUCCAUGAAGCUGGAUUCGCUAGUAAUCGCGCAUCAGCCAUGGCGCGGUGAAUACGUUCCCGGGCC